This 531-nucleotide ribosomal RNA is filed under the name Pseudomonas libanensis. Its description in RNAcentral is "bacterial SSU rRNA". It matches the Rfam family "Bacterial small subunit ribosomal RNA", at positions 56 to 582 of the family's 1533-position model. The record is from RNAcentral. Lineage: Bacteria; Pseudomonadati; Pseudomonadota; Gammaproteobacteria; Pseudomonadales; Pseudomonadaceae.
UGCAAGUCGAGCGGUAGAGAGAAGCUUGCUUCUCUUGAGAGCGGCGGACGGGUGAGUAAUGCCUAGGAAUCUGCCUGGUAGUGGGGGAUAACGUUCGGAAACGGACGCUAAUACCGCAUACGUCCUACGGGAGAAAGCAGGGGACCUUCGGGCCUUGCGCUAUCAGAUGAGCCUAGGUCGGAUUAGCUAGUUGGUGGGGUAAUGGCUCACCAAGGCGACGAUCCGUAACUGGUCUGAGAGGAUGAUCAGUCACACUGGAACUGAGACACGGUCCAGACUCCUACGGGAGGCAGCAGUGGGGAAUAUUGGACAAUGGGCGAAAGCCUGAUCCAGCCAUGCCGCGUGUGUGAAGAAGGUCUUCGGAUUGUAAAGCACUUUAAGUUGGGAGGAAGGGUUGUAGAUUAAUACUCUGCAAUUUUGACGUUACCGACAGAAUAAGCACCGGCUAACUCUGUGCCAGCAGCCGCGGUAAUACAGAGGGUGCAAGCGUUAAUCGGAAUUACUGGGCGUAAAGCGCGCGUAGGUGGUUUG